CUUUGGCAUUUCUGGACGAGGAUUUACACUGCAGAGCUGGGCAGAGCUGCAACCAGCACCUCAGCAAACUCAACCAUGAAGGCAUCUGGGGCCCUUCUGCUGCUCACCCUUGCCAUCUGGUGUUUCUCUGAUACUGCCGGCGCCAGCUUGAGAGAGGACUUUAUCACGAGCCUGCAGGAUGUUGUGAUGAGCAUCAAGCGCUGCAAGUCUGAUUUACACGCAGGGCUGGCAACCUCCCUCCGCGACAUUGAGAACGACAUAAUAAAGACUGAAAAUGGUAAAAACUGAUCUGCAAAAUCCUAGCGAGGUCUUCCCUCAGUCUCGCUGAAGACCUUCUCUGCGAAUGGACCCAACACGAGCUCUCUUGGUACCAAAGCAGAUACUUUCAUUCCUUCAAUAAAUCAAUGCAACUGCG
Molecule: long non-coding RNA, 415 nt
Organism: Alligator sinensis (Chinese alligator)
Lineage: Eukaryota; Metazoa; Chordata; Crocodylia; Alligatoridae
Exons: 3
Source: RefSeq, a predicted model, not a curated record